This is a small nucleolar RNA of Lepus europaeus (European hare), 203 nucleotides long. RefSeq annotates it as small nucleolar RNA ZL1. The transcript has a single exon. The record is from RefSeq and is a predicted model, not a curated record. NCBI's taxonomy places the organism in Eukaryota, Metazoa, Chordata, Mammalia, Lagomorpha, Leporidae.
GGAGAAGCAAAAUGAUGAGCCACACUGGCUGGAUCCCCAAAGAGGCACGUGUGUGUGUGUGUGUGUCCGUCCGUCCGUCCGCGUCCAUCCUUGUCUGUGUGCUCCCUGUGUGUCUGGCUAUGCGUGUGUGUCUGGUUAUAGGGAACUAGCUGUGUGCCUUCUGUUGGGCCAUGACAGUCAAACUGAUAAGAUCUGAUUGCUUC